RNAcentral lists this ribosomal RNA (516 nucleotides) under uncultured bacterium. RNAcentral describes it as "bacterial SSU rRNA". It matches the Rfam family "Bacterial small subunit ribosomal RNA", at positions 32 to 526 of the family's 1533-position model. The record is from RNAcentral.
AAUCAACGCUGGCGGCGUGCCUAACACAUGCAAGUCGAACGCGGUUGCCCCGCAAGGGGUAACUGAGUGGCGAACGGGUGAGUAACACGUGGGUGACCUACCUUCGAAUGGGGGAUAACGUCCCGAAAGGGACGCUAAUACCGCAUAACAUCCUGCUUUUGAACAGGUGGAGAUCAAAGCCGGGGAUCGCAAGACCUGGCGUUUGAAGAGGGGCUCGCGUCUGAUUAGCUAGUUGGUGAGGUAACGGCCCACCAAGGCAACGAUCAGUAUCCGGCCUGAGAGGGCGGACGGACACACUGGGACUGAGACACGGCCCAGACUCCUACGGGAGGCAGCAGUGGGGAAUUGUUCGCAAUGGGCGCAAGCCUGACGACGCAACGCCGCGUGGAGGAUGAAGGUCUUCGGAUUGUAAACUCCUGUUGCUCGGGACGAAAAGCUUCGACCUAACACGUCGAAGUCUGACGGUACCGGGUGAGGAAGCCCCGGCUAACUCUGUGCCAGCCGCCGCGGUAACAC